This 431-nucleotide ribosomal RNA is filed under the name uncultured bacterium. RNAcentral's name for it is "partial 16S ribosomal RNA". It matches the Rfam family "Bacterial small subunit ribosomal RNA", at positions 29 to 507 of the family's 1533-position model. The record is from RNAcentral.
AUGAACGCUGGCGGUAUGCUUAACACAUGCAAGUCGAACGGUCACUUCGGUGAUAGUGGCGGACGGGUGAGUCACGCGUGAGAAUCUGUCUUCAGGUCGGGGACAACAGUUAGAAAUGACUGCUAAUACCGGAUGUGCCUUUGGGUGAAAGAUUUAUUGCCUGAAAAAGAGCUCGCGUCAGAUUAGCUAGUAGGUGGUGUAAGAGACUACCUAGGCUCCGAUCUGUAGCUGGUCUGAGAGGACGAUCAGCCACACUGGAACUGAGACACGGUCCAGACUCCUACGGGAGGCAGCAGUGGGGAAUUUUCCGCAAUGGGCGAAAGCCUGACGGAACAAUACCGCGUGAGGGACGAAGGCUUUUGGGUCGUAAACCUCUUUUCUCAAGGAAGAUGAUGACGGUACUUGAGGAAUAAGCAUCGGCUAACUCUGUG